This 488-nucleotide ribosomal RNA is filed under the name uncultured bacterium. RNAcentral describes it as "bacterial SSU rRNA". It matches the Rfam family "Bacterial small subunit ribosomal RNA", at positions 28 to 507 of the family's 1533-position model. The record is from RNAcentral.
GACGAACGCUGGCGGCGUGGAUUAGGCAUGCAAGUCGAACGGUAUCACCUUUCGGGGAUGAGAGAGUGGCGAACGGGUGAGUAACACGUAGGUGAUCUACCCUCAAGACGGGGACAACCCAGGGAAACUUGGGCUAAUACCGGGAUGUGAGCUAUCGUGAGAUAGUUUGAAAGGUGGCUUCGGCUGCCGCUUGAGGAUGAGCCUGCGUCCUAUUAGCUAGUUGGUGAGGUAACGGCUCACCGAGGCAGUGAUAGGUAGGCGGCCUUAACGGGUGGUCGCCCACACUGGGAUUGAGAUACGGCCCAGACUCCUACGGGAGGCAGCAGUCGAGAAUAGUCUACAAUGGUCGAAAGACUGAUAGUGCGACGCCGCGUGAACGAAGAAGCCCUUCGGGGUGUAAAGUUCUUUUAUAUGUGAGCAGUGACACCCAUAUUAAUAGUAUGGGUGUAGAGAUAUUAGCAUAUGAAUAAGCAACGGCUAACUCCGUG